Podarcis lilfordi (Lilford's wall lizard) is the source of this 82-nucleotide non-coding RNA. Lineage: Eukaryota; Metazoa; Chordata; Lepidosauria; Squamata; Lacertidae. The record is from the annotation of a GenBank genome assembly.
GGAGACAAGAUGGCCUGUAGCUCAAGGGUAGAUUAUCUUCUUUGCAUGCAGAAGGUCCCAGGCUCAAUCCCUGCUAUCUCCA